UCAUCGGGUAAAGUGUAACUUGAGAAUUCCUGCUUUUCUUCUACUCUCAUAAUUAAUUAGUUUCAGUUUUCAUCUUUCUGCGUUGGCUUUGGCCUCAAGAGAUAUCACAAGUAUUUACAGAAGCAGUUGUAAUCAUCAAUUCUCUGCUUUGCUUCCCAUUAGUUCUUGUUCUGCCUC
Neltuma alba is the source of this 177-nucleotide long non-coding RNA. RefSeq lists it as uncharacterized. The record is from RefSeq and is a predicted model, not a curated record. The transcript is spliced from 2 exons. Lineage: Eukaryota; Viridiplantae; Streptophyta; Magnoliopsida; Fabales; Fabaceae.